AAUCGCUGCAGAACACAGCAUCACCACAGGAAUGGGAUCAACACAGGCAGAGCACACAGUAAUCAUCUCUGCUAUUCUCUGAUUCAAAACAACUGCAAAGAGAACUAAUGCUUUUGACAGUUACAGUAAUUGUGCAGGAUGCGAAACUGGUGUCCUCAGUCCAGCGGCGGGCCACCUCUGGGUCAUCACACAGCAGGAUGUUGUCAAAAAGCACACCCCCCGUCACAGACCACAGCUCCAAUCCCACUGCAGCCACAGGCCUUAUCUGGAAUGGUGGGGGGGCAUCAGAAAAUGCAGGAUUUGGGAUAGUGCGAGGAUACCAUUGCCCCUGUGAGAGAGGAAUGGAGGAGUUGGUUGUGGUAAAGAAAGAGACAGGAUUGGGAACUCCAGAUUCAGAUUCAUACGUCUCAAUUUGUGUGAUUUAAAAGUGAACCCACUCAUGGACGAGCUGAUCAACACGAUAAACAAGUGUAGAAAAUUUCCAGAGGAAUGUGCCACAUUACUUAAACGACUCUAAACUAACUAGCAUUCUCACAAACCUGCUGUAUAUUACAACAUUGCAGAAGCAUGAAAGUGUAACACAGUAGAGCCAGCACUGGAGUAACUAAGAACACAAGCACAAGAAUAUGUCUUUUUUCUCACAAUUACAGGUCAUAUGUGAUAGAAAUGGGCAUAUGCACCAAUGAUAUGUAUGAGGCAGAAUUUUUACAUAUGCACCAAUGAUGUGGGACGGAUGUGGGUUGCAUUCA
Anguilla rostrata (American eel) is the source of this 749-nucleotide long non-coding RNA. RefSeq lists it as uncharacterized. Lineage: Eukaryota; Metazoa; Chordata; Actinopteri; Anguilliformes; Anguillidae. The transcript has 2 exons. The record is from RefSeq and is a predicted model, not a curated record.